GACGAACGCUGGCGGCGUGCUUAACACAUGCAAGUCGAACGGAAAGGCCCUGCUUUUGUGGGGUGCUCGAGUGGCGAAAGGGUGAGUAACACGUGAGUAACCUGCCCUUGACUUUGGGAUAACUUCAGGAAACUGGGGCUAAUACCGGAUAGGAGCUCCUGCUGCAUGGUGGGGGUUGGAAAGUUUCGGCGGUUGGGGAUGGACUCGCGGCUUAUCAGCUUGUUGGUGGGGUAGUGGCUUACCAAGGCUUUGACGGGUAGCCGGCCUGAGAGGGUGACCGGCCACAUUGGGACUGAGAGACGGCCCAGACUCCUACGGGAGGCAGCAGUGGGGAAUAUGGCACAAUGGGCGGGAGCCUGAUGCAGCAACGCCGCGUGCGGGAUGACGGCCUUCGGGUUGUAAACCGCUUUCGCCUGUGACGAAGCGUGAGUGACGGUAAUGGGUAAAGAAGCACCGGCUAACUACGUG
RNAcentral lists this ribosomal RNA (468 nucleotides) under uncultured bacterium. RNAcentral's name for it is "partial 16S ribosomal RNA". It matches the Rfam family "Bacterial small subunit ribosomal RNA", at positions 28 to 507 of the family's 1533-position model. The record is from RNAcentral.